Echinops telfairi (small Madagascar hedgehog) is the source of this 436-nucleotide long non-coding RNA. RefSeq lists it as uncharacterized. The transcript is spliced from 3 exons. Lineage: Eukaryota; Metazoa; Chordata; Mammalia; Afrosoricida; Tenrecidae. The record is from RefSeq and is a predicted model, not a curated record.
CGCCCUUCAACGCACGGCUCCUCAAAGUCGCCUCUUCCCCACGGCCGCGGCUGGAGAACUCCACAGGCAAGAUCGCACCCUCCAGUAGGAAACCGGACUCUAGAGAAUCUUCUCCUUUUCACUACUGACCGAGGGGAUAACUUUGCCCCUAAUCAUGUUCGUGUUUCGGGUCGCGCGUUCCCUGGAAGAUGCAGGUGCCAGUUGAGUUGAUUCUGACUGCUGGCGAGACCAUGUGGAGCUUCGCGGGCCACAGUUACCUCAUGAGCAGCCAGUUUGACACCCCUGUUCUGAGGCAUCCCUUUCAAUGUAGCCAAUGGCUAGUUCCUUUCUGUGCUAACCAUUCACGUCAAGCAGAACGUUCCUCUCCCAUCUUUUCCUUUCCUGUUCAAUUUAUUGAAUGGUUUUACUCCAAUAAAUAAUAUAUUUUAUUAAGUUA